UACGGAGGGGGCUAGCGUUGUUCGGAAUUACUGGGCGUAAAGGGCGCGUAGGCGGUUCGCCAAGUUAGGCGUGAAAGGCCCGGGCUUAACCCGGGAAUGUCGCUUAAUACUGGCGGGCUCGAGAUCGGGAGAGGAGAGUGGAAUUCCCAGUGUAGAGGUGAAAUUCGUAGAUAUUGGGAAGAACACCGGUGGCGAAGGCGGCUCUCUGGCCCGCAUCUGACGCUAAGGCGCGAAAGCGUGGGGAG
RNAcentral lists this ribosomal RNA (245 nucleotides) under uncultured Rhodospirillaceae bacterium. RNAcentral's name for it is "partial 16S ribosomal RNA". It matches the Rfam family "Bacterial small subunit ribosomal RNA", at positions 524 to 768 of the family's 1533-position model. The record is from RNAcentral. Lineage: Bacteria; Pseudomonadati; Pseudomonadota; Alphaproteobacteria; Rhodospirillales; Rhodospirillaceae.